GCCAGGGUGGCAUAGUGGUUUGAGCGGUGGACUGGGACUCUGGAGGCCAGGGUUCGAAUCCUGCCUCAGCC
Non-coding RNA from Phrynosoma platyrhinos (Desert horned lizard), 71 nucleotides. NCBI's taxonomy places the organism in Eukaryota, Metazoa, Chordata, Lepidosauria, Squamata, Phrynosomatidae. The record is from the annotation of a GenBank genome assembly.